RNAcentral lists this ribosomal RNA (253 nucleotides) under uncultured bacterium. RNAcentral describes it as "partial 16S ribosomal RNA". It matches the Rfam family "Bacterial small subunit ribosomal RNA", at positions 524 to 776 of the family's 1533-position model. The record is from RNAcentral.
UACGGAGGGGGCUAGCGUUGUUCGGAAUUACUGGGCGUAAAGCGCACGUAGGCGGAUAUUUAAGUCAGGGGUGAAAUCCCAGAGCUCAACUCUGGAACUGCCUUUGAUACUGGGUAUCUCGAGUAUGGAAGAGGUGAGUGGAAUUCCGAGUGUAGAGGUGAAAUUCGUAGAUAUUCGGAGGAACACCAGUGGCGAAGGCGGCUCACUGGUCCAUUACUGACGCUGAGGUGCGAAAGCGUGGGGAGCAAACAGG